GCCUACGGGGGGCAGCAGUAGGGAAUUUUCGUCAAUGGGCGCAAGUCUGAACGAGCAAUGCCGCGUGAACGAGGAAGGUCUUCGGAUCGUAAAGUUCUGUUGAAGGGGAAAAAGAGCGGAGAGAGGAAAUGGUCUCCGAUUGAUAUUACCCUUCGAGGAAGUCACGGCUAACUACGUGCCAGCAGCCGCGGUAAUACGUAGGUGGCGAGCGUUAUCCGGAAUGAUUGGGCGUAAAGGGUGCGUAGGCGGCCUGCUAAGUCUGGAGUGAAAGGUACCGGCUCAACCGGUACAGGCUCUGGAAACUG
This 305-nucleotide ribosomal RNA is filed under the name uncultured bacterium. RNAcentral describes it as "bacterial SSU rRNA". It matches the Rfam family "Bacterial small subunit ribosomal RNA", at positions 337 to 635 of the family's 1533-position model. The record is from RNAcentral.